GUCUACAGCCAUGCUACCCUGGACAAGCCUGAUCCCAUCUGAUCUCGGAAGCUAAGCAGGGUCGGGCCUGGUUAGGACUUGGAUGGGAGACCACCUAGGAAGAUCAGGUGCUGUAGGUG
Pteropus alecto (black flying fox) is the source of this 119-nucleotide non-coding RNA. Lineage: Eukaryota; Metazoa; Chordata; Mammalia; Chiroptera; Pteropodidae. The record is from Rfam.